RNAcentral lists this long non-coding RNA (1558 nucleotides) under Brassica rapa (field mustard). Its description in RNAcentral is "long non-coding RNA (BRAP_LNC003508)". The record is from RNAcentral. Lineage: Eukaryota; Viridiplantae; Streptophyta; Magnoliopsida; Brassicales; Brassicaceae.
UUUAGGUGAAAACGUGUAUUCAAUGUGCUUUAACUUACCUAAAUUCGUUGUAAAGUCGUUGUAAAUAUACCAUGUAAAAUCCAUGUAAAACUUUCCUUGUAAAAUCGUUGUUAUAUUUCUCUAUAUAUAUGUCAUUUCCCACAACUCUCUUCCUCACAACACACAACUCUCUUCCUCUCGAACCUGAUGGCGUUUAGACUAUGUUCCUCAUUCAGCCACCAAUUACUAUUUCGAAGAUGACGAUAAGGAACCUGACUCAUUUGUCUGUCUGCUAAUUCAGUGGAGCGACAAGGAGAAAGUGGACGGAAGUGCAGUUGGUUUAUACUUGAGAGGAACCUCCGACCAUCGUCAAAGGUUCCUCUCAAGUACAAACCAGCUGCACUUCUGUCCACUUUCUCCUUGUCGUUCCACUGAAUUGGCAGACAGACGAACGACACAGAUUCCUUAUCGUCGUCUUAGCAAUAGUAAUUGGUGGCUUAACAACGCAAUUACGACGAAACCAACGAAACCAAAUUUCGUCGUAAACGCCAUGUAAUCUUACGAAGCAAGUACGUCGAAAAGAAAACUUUACAUCGACAUUACAACGAAUCAUGUUACCGUUAUAUUUAGGUGAAAAACUUACCUAAAUUCGUUGUAAAGUCGUUGUAAAGAAACCAUGUAAAAUCCAUGUAAAAGAUUCCUUGUAAAAUCGUUGUUAUAUUUCAACUACCCAACUCAAAAAUUUCUCUAUAUAUAUGUCAUUUCCUACAACUUUCUUCCUCACAACACACAACUCUCUUCCUCACAAGACCCAAACGGAAUUUUUUUUUUUUUUAAUAUAGAAGAAAAUAUGGUCGGUGGCGGUAGUAUUUACGAGUUACGAAGUUUGAUGUAUUUGCACAAAGAUUCCGACGGGAGAGUGACGAAUGCAUUUCUGAACGGGCUAGAGACAUUCAUGCACUAGGCGGACUGUACACCGAUCACGCAGGAAAGCGGUAAGAUGUUCUGCCCCUGUCAAAAAUGCAAGAAUUCGAAAUUUGCACGUAGUGAAACUGUAUGGAAUCAUUUAGAAAACAUAGGAUUUACACCACAGUACUACAUUUGGUAUCAACAUGGAGAAGGUUAUGGAGGAAAUGAAGCUAGUAGUAGUAAUGCUAAUUUUGAGGAUGCUCAUCAUAAUGAAGAACCGAAUCAUGUGCAUAAUGAAUAUAAUUAUCAUCAAGAAGAGCAGAUGGUAGAUCAUGAUAGGGUUCAAGAUAUGAUUAGUGAUGCAUUUUUAGAAACAACUACAACAAUAGCUGAUGGAACUGGAAAUGUAAAAGAACCUAAUUUGGAUGCAAAAAGGUUUUAUGAAAUGCUAGAUGCUGCAAAUCAACCAAUCUACACUGGUGGUAGAGAAGGUCUCUCUAAAUUGUCUCUAGCAGCUAGGAUGAUGAAUAUUAAAACGGAUCAUAAUUUACCUGAGAAUUGCAUGGAUGCAUGGGCGGAGUUGUUUAAAGAGUAUUUGCCAGAAGACAACGUGUCUGCUGAAUCUUAUUAUGAGAUUCAGAAAUUGGUUUAUAGUCUUGGGUUACCCUCG